CUGCUUAUUGUCUUUAAAGAAGGCAAUGUACCUACCUUAUUUUGUGCUCUGUUAUUAUCUUUGAUCAGUAUCAGUUGUGUCUCUUAGAGAGACACUCCUACCUUUUCUGACUUGAGUUGUUAACUAUUGUUCCAUACUUCUGUUAGCUACAACAAAAAAUCUUUGAAUUUGGUACUGCAUGAUUUUUUACUACUGCUUACACACAGAGUAUUUGCUACUACUAAAACAGCGAUUUUGUAUGCACUGCUACCUGAUGAGUGCUUUCUUUGUAAUAUUUCACCUUGGCAUGCAUAUGUUUGUUCGGUUUGAACUUUGCAUGACAUGAUAUAAUUAUUUCCAGUGUUUUUCUCAACUUAUUUUCAUUGACACUUGAUAUAUAGUUAGCUUGUACUUGAAGCUAUGGGUUAAUGUGGUGAUUUUGUUCUACUUGGAUGCAUUGUACCCCCAUAAUCGAGCGCAUGGAUGCAAUGGCAAGAAGAUCAUGGUUGUGUGCAUCAUCAAGCACACCACGGAGAUAAUCGACCUCCUCACCGAUGGUAACUCAAUCUAGAUCAUCACUUUAUACUCUCCUACCUUUGUGAUGUUAGUAUGCUUCUGCUGACUAUACAAUGUGACUUAUAAUUUCUAGCUGUGCAUGUUGUAGACUGUUGACUGUAGAGUGGUACACUUCCUGGAGCAUUGUAAUGCCUUACCAAGUAGCAAUUGCAUGAAGAUAGUCCACAGCACAAAAACUAUGUGUAAUGGAUCCAUCACUUACAAUCUGUACGUGAAUACCAUGUGUAAUGACUGUUAUUUUUUGCAUCGUCUGAACAUUUUUUUGCUGCUGUAUUGUUUCUCACUCAUGAUUGAUCUACUGCCAGUUGAAGGUUUUCAAAUGUUGAAGGAGGAGGAUAAUAGGAACUUCUGUGAUGUCUUGUCAUCUAUUUUCUUUUCUUUGUUGUAGAAUAGUUUUGUUUGGCACUUACUAGUUCCUUGGACAUAAAGAUAUGUACUGCCAGAAUGAAUGCAUGUAAAUAUAUUUUGGGCUCCUAUAAUAUUCCAUGUUGCUUUGAAAAUGUAUCAUAACUAGGCUAGGCCCAAGAUAACUUGUAGUGUGAUGUGUUGUAAUGUCAAUGGCAUAAUAAAAGAAGUUGGAUUGGAUCAAUUAUUUCAGCCCAGCCCAAGAUAUAUUGAACAACUAUUUCUGAGGGGAAAACUUGAGAGGCCUAGCAAAGAAAUGGCCCAGAAAAAACAAGACCAAAAAACAAUCUGUCAAAACGGAU
Molecule: long non-coding RNA, 1262 nt
Filed under: Triticum aestivum (bread wheat)
Lineage: Eukaryota; Viridiplantae; Streptophyta; Magnoliopsida; Poales; Poaceae
Description: long non-coding RNA (TAES_LNC002228)
Source: RNAcentral